RNAcentral lists this long non-coding RNA (249 nucleotides) under Actinidia chinensis (golden kiwifruit). RNAcentral's name for it is "long non-coding RNA (ACHI_LNC006428)". Lineage: Eukaryota; Viridiplantae; Streptophyta; Magnoliopsida; Ericales; Actinidiaceae. The record is from RNAcentral.
UAUAAUCAGUUCUACCAACUAUGUAUAAGUAUACAUAAAUAUGUAUAAACAUUAGAUUUCGAUUCAUAUCUAACAAAUUUCUAAUAACUCAUUAAUAAAUUCAAAGAAUAAAUUCAAAGAAAGAUAGUAUAAAUUACCUCAAAUGGAAUUUCUUUCUCCUCCCUUUCCCUCUCACUUGCUCUCUCUUCUCUCUCAAUUUUCCUCUCCCUCUCUCGGUCUCCUUUCUUUUCUCUUCUCCUUUCUCGUUUU